AUAGUCAUACAACUUGAACAACAUAGAUGCUGACAUAGGAACUACAUAGAUAAGGUUAGCAUGACCCCUGCACAAAAACGACACACAAAUUUGGCAAGAACUCCUUUUUUUA
This is a small nuclear RNA of Rattus norvegicus (Norway rat), 112 nucleotides long. The record is from Ensembl. Lineage: Eukaryota; Metazoa; Chordata; Mammalia; Rodentia; Muridae.